AUGGAGUUUCACUCUUGUUGCCCAGGCUGGAAUGCAAUGGCACGCCAUCUUGGCUCCCUGCAAGCUCUGUCUCCCAGGUUCAAGCGAUUCUCCUGCCUCUGCCUCCUGAGUAGCUGGGAUUACAGAUGCUUCCCUCCCUCAAAUCUUGGACUCCAAGUUCAGCUUUGGGACCAGGACUGGCUUCCUUGCUCCUCAGCUUGAAGAUGGCCUAUUGUGAGACCUUGUGAUCAUGUGAGUUAAUACUCCUUAAUAAACUCCCCUUUUUAUGUACAUCUAUCCUAUUAGUUCUGUCCUUCUUGAAGAACCCUGACUAAUACAGUUAGUAUUUGAAAUUUAAUUAAUAAGUACAUGAUACCGUUUGGCUCUGUGUCCCCACCCAAAUCUCAUCUUGAAUUGUAAUCCUCAUAAUCCUCACAUGUCAAGGGUGGGACCAGGUGGAGGUAAUGAAAUCGUGGGGGUGGUUCCCCCAUGUUGUUCUCAUGAUAGUGAGUGAGUUCUCAGGAGAACUGAUUUUUUUUUGUUUUUUUUUUGUUUGUUUGUUUUGUUUUGUUUGUUUUUUUGAGACGGAGUUUCACUCUUGUUGCCCAGGCUUUAGUGCAGUGGCAUGAUCUCAGCUCACCCCAACCUCUGCCUCCCGGGUUCAAACGAUUCUUUUGCAUCAGUCUCCCGAGUAUCUGCGAUUACAGGCAGGUGCCAAUGUGCCACCACGCCCGGCUAAUUUCGUGUUUUUAGUAGAGACGUGGUUUCUCCGUGUUGGGCAGGCUGGUCUCAAACUCCCGAACUCCGUUGAUCUGCCACCUCAGCCUCUCAAACUGCUGGGAUUACAGGCGGGAGCCACCAUGCCCUGCUGAUCGUUUUAUAGGUGUCUGACCCUUCCCCUGCUUCCAGUUUUCCUUCCUGCCGCACUGUGAAGAAGCUGCCUUGCUUCCUCUUAGCCUUCUGCCAUGAUCGUAAAUUUCCUGAGGCUUCCCCAGCCAUGCUGAAGUGUGAGUUUAACUUUCUUUUAUAAAUUCACCAGUCUUGUGUAUGUCUUUAUUAGCAAUGUUAGAAUGGACUAAUACAGUACAC
This 1068-nucleotide long non-coding RNA is filed under the name Papio anubis (olive baboon). RNAcentral's name for it is "lncRNA (ENSPANG00000039955.1)". Lineage: Eukaryota; Metazoa; Chordata; Mammalia; Primates; Cercopithecidae. The record is from RNAcentral.